Long non-coding RNA from Mangifera indica (mango), 458 nucleotides. RefSeq lists it as uncharacterized. Lineage: Eukaryota; Viridiplantae; Streptophyta; Magnoliopsida; Sapindales; Anacardiaceae. The transcript is spliced from 2 exons. The record is from RefSeq and is a predicted model, not a curated record.
UUCUAAACUCUUUCCUUCGAGGAAACCUUUGGCAAAAUUAUCUAGAUGUACACUUAUUAGCAACCAUCUAUAUUUCGAGAAAAAUGUUUUGUGUUUGCUUCUUCAUAAGGAUCUUGCACAUCGUAUUCUCUAUGAUCCUAGAUCUUGACAGGGAGUUGUUAGUCCUGCUUGAAAAUGAUUUUGUUUCCACUCUUAUGAUAAAAUAGCUCGAGUUUAAAGAAUUUUAGUGGUGUAUGAAGACAUUGUUAUCCGUUGUUAGGCACUGGUGGGAAUGCCCAGGCGGGAGGAACUCUGGUGGGAGAAUUGCUGUGUCACCAGCUACAAGGUCAGGCCGAAUUACCCACAAAAAGGUUUGCUUGCUAUUCGCAAGUCCCCAAGAAAACUCAAUUAGUUGAUCCACCGUCAUGACUGUAAUACUACCAAAAUUUACAUAAACAACUGAAUUGGGUUCUUUUAAA